Molecule: long non-coding RNA, 144 nt
Organism: Chelonia mydas (Green sea turtle)
Lineage: Eukaryota; Metazoa; Chordata; Testudines; Cheloniidae
Exons: 3
Source: RefSeq, a predicted model, not a curated record
UGCCACUGCCGUGGGGCUUGUCUACAGUUACAUUUUAUAGCGCUCUAACUUGCUGACUCAGGGGGGUGAAAAUCACUCCCCUGAGUGUAGCAAGUUUGAGUGCUUUAAAGCGCUCGUGUGGAUGGGCUCUGAGCGCUGGGAGCC